Molecule: long non-coding RNA, 597 nt
Organism: Trachymyrmex septentrionalis
Lineage: Eukaryota; Metazoa; Arthropoda; Insecta; Hymenoptera; Formicidae
Exons: 3
Source: RefSeq, a predicted model, not a curated record
UAUUCCACCAGGAAUAUUCCGCUAGGAAAGCAUAUAUCUCAUUAAUCCAACCUACGUUAAUGCAAAUCCACUCGGAUUGAAACGCUUUAAGAUAAGAGAGUGUUCUACAUGCUCAGUUACAGCAAAUAGUAACAUGCACGUCAAACGCUGGGAUAGCACAAGAAGUCUUUAAUGCGCCACUAGCAUCUAUUCCUCCUGGGUGGAUAGAGUAGGAAUCUGAACGUUUCACCUAACCAAUGAAGGCACUCAAAAGGAAUCUGAAUGCUUUCUGGAUGUCUAGGUGCACCCGGGUGGAAAAUUUGAACGCAGCCCUAUGCAGGACAGAGAGAUAAGCGAAGAAUCUUUUCAGCACUUCGGGAUAAUUGGGACAAUUUGCGACGGCAUGCCGAGUAACAGUUAAUACGGAACGUGUACUACAGGAUUCGAAACGUUCAAGAAGCCGCAAAUGAAUAUACGACGCGGAAGUAUAACAUUCAGGGCAUUUGAUGGUACCGCUUUUCCUAUGCUGGAAGAAUAGCGAAGAUACGCAACAUGCACCACGUGGAGAACGGACUAACCGCCAAGAUUUGAAUGUCGAUAGAUGCGCGCAAACGCAAA